RNAcentral lists this transfer RNA (74 nucleotides) under Sphaerodactylus townsendi. RNAcentral's name for it is "tRNA-Val". It matches the Rfam family "tRNA". Rfam says of the family: Transfer RNA (tRNA) molecules are approximately 80 nucleotides in length. Their secondary structure includes four short double-helical elements and three loops (D, anti-codon, and T loops). Further hydrogen bonds mediate the characteristic L-shaped molecular structure. tRNAs have two regions of fundamental functional importance: the anti-codon, which is responsible for specific mRNA codon recognition, and the 3' end, to which the tRNAs corresponding amino acid is attached (by aminoacyl-tRNA synthetases). tRNAs cope with the degeneracy of the genetic code in two manners: having more than one tRNA (with a specific anti-codon) for a particular amino acid; and 'wobble' base-pairing, i.e. permitting non-standard base-pairing at the 3rd anti-codon position. The record is from RNAcentral. Lineage: Eukaryota; Metazoa; Chordata; Lepidosauria; Squamata; Sphaerodactylidae.
GUGGGGCUGCAGCUCAGUGGUAGAGCAACUGUUUUACAUGCAGAAGGACUUAGGUUCGAUCACCAGCAUCUACA